UACGGGAGGCAGCAGUGGGGAAUAUUGCACAAUGGGCGAAAGCCUGAUGCAGCUAUGCCGCGUGUAUGAAGAAGGCCUUAGGGUUGUAAAGUACUUUCAUCGGGGAGGAAAAACAAAACUAAUAAUUUUAUUUCUUGACGUUACCCGAAAAAGAAGCACCGGCUAACUCCGUGCCAGCAGCCGCGGUAAUACGGAGGGUGCUAGCGUUAAUCAGAAUUACUGGGCGUAAAGAGCACGUAGGUGGUUUUUUUAAAGUCAGAUGUGAAAUUCCCUGGGCUUAACCUAGGAACUGCAUUUUGAAACUGAAAUACUAGAGUAUCGUAGAGGGAGGUAGAAUUCUAGGUGUAGCGGUGAAAUGCGUAGAUAUCUGGAGGAAUACCUGUGGCGAAAGCGGCCUCCUAAACGAAUACUGACACUGAGGUGCGAAAGCGUGGGGAGCAAACAGGGAUUAGAUACC
RNAcentral lists this ribosomal RNA (457 nucleotides) under uncultured bacterium. RNAcentral describes it as "bacterial SSU rRNA". It matches the Rfam family "Bacterial small subunit ribosomal RNA", at positions 340 to 786 of the family's 1533-position model. The record is from RNAcentral.